UACUCUUCGGGGUUGUAGGACUGCAAUGUGGACUCAAAGAUUAUAGAAGAAUGAUUUGGGAAGAUCAGCCAAAGAGAGUAAUAGCCUCGUAUUUAAAAUAGUCUUUGUACUUAGCAGUAUCCUGAGUACGGCGGGACACGUGAAAUCCCGUCGGAAUCUGGGAGGACCAUCUCCCAACCCUAAAUACUCCCUAGUGACCGAUAGUGAACCAGUACCGUGAGGGAAAGGUGAAAAGCACCCCGGGAGGGGAGUGAAAUAGAACCUGAAACCGUGUGCCUACAACAAGUUCGAGCCCGUUAAUGGGUGAGAGCGUGCCUUUUGUAGAAUGAACCGGCGAGUUACGUUAUGAUGCGAGGUUAAGUUGAAGAGACGGAGCCGUAGGGAAACCGAGUCUGAAUAGGGCGCCUUAGUAUCAUGACGUAGACCCGAAACCAUGUGACCUACCCAUGAGCAGGUUGAAGGUGCGGUAAGACGCACUGGAGGACCGAACCAGGGCACGUUGAAAAGUGCUUGGAUGACUUGUGGGUAGCGGAGAAAUUCCAAACGAACUUGGAGAUAGCUGGUUCUCUCCGAAAUAGCUUUAGGGCUAGCGUCGACAUUAGAGAUUCUUGGAGGUAGAGCACUGUUUGGGUGAGGGGUCCAUCCCGGAUUACCAAUCUCAGAUAAACUCCGAAUGCCAAUGAAUUAUGGUCGGCAGUCAGACUGCGAGUGCUAAGAUCCGUAGUCGAAAGGGAAACAGCCCAGACCACCAGCUAAGGUCCCAAAAUAAUUGUUAAGUGGAAAAGGAUGUGGGGUUGCACAGACAACUAGGAUGUUAGCUUAGAAGCAGCUAUUCAUUCAAAGAGUGCGUAAUAGCUCACUAGUCGAGUGACCCUGCGCCGAAAAUGUACCGGGGCUAAAACAAUUUACCGAAGCUGUGGAUACCUUUAUAGGUAUGGUAGGAGAGCGUUCUAUGUGUGAUGAAGGUAUACCGUGAGGAGUGCUGGAACGCAUAGAAGUGAGAAUGCCGGUAUGAGUAGCGAAAGACAGGUGAGAAUCCUGUCCACCGUAAGACUAAGGUUUCCAGGGGAAGGCUCGUCCGCCCUGGGUUAGUCGGGACCUAAGGAGAGACCGAAAGGUGUAUCCGAUGGACAACAGGUUGAUAUUCCUGUACUAGAGUAUGUAGUGAUGGAGGGACGCAGUAGGCUAACUAAAGCAGACGAUUGGAAGAGUCUGUCUAAGCAGUGAGGUGUGAAUUGAGUCAAAUGCUUAAUUCUAUAACAUUGAGCUGUGAUGGGGAGCGAAGUUUAGUAGCGAAGUUAGUGACGUCACACUGCCAAGAAAAGCUUCUAGCGUUUAAACAUACUCUACCCGUACCGCAAACCGACACAGGUAGUCGAGGCGAGUAGCCUCAGGUGAGCGAGAGAACUCUCGUUAAGGAACUCGGCAAAAUGACCCCGUAACUUCGGGAGAAGGGGUGCUGACUUUAAGUCAGCCGCAGUGAAUAGGCCCAAGCAACUGUUUAUCAAAAACACAGCUCUCUGCUAAAUCGUAAGAUGAUGUAUAGGGGGUGACGCCUGCCCGGUGCUGGAAGGUUAAGAGGAGUGCUUAGCGUAAGCGAAGGUAUGAAUUGAAGCCCCAGUAAACGGCGGCCGUAACUAUAACGGUCCUAAGGUAGCGAAAUUCCUUGUCGGGUAAGUUCCGACCCGCACGAAAGGCGUAAUGAUUUGGGCACUGUCUCAACGAGAGACUCGGUGAAAUUUUAGUACCUGUGAAGAUGCAGGUUACCCGCGACAGGACGGAAAGACCCCAUGGAGCUUUACUGCAGUUUGAUAUUGAGUGUCUGUACCACAUGUACAGGAUAGGUAGGAGUCUAAGAGAUCGGGACGCCAGUUUCGAAGGAGACGCUGUUGGGAUACUACCCUUGUGUUAUGGCCACUCUAACCCAGAUAGGUGAUCCCUAUCGGAGACAGUGUCUGACGGGCAGUUUGACUGGGGCGGUCGCCUCCUAAAAGGUAACGGAGGCGCCCAAAGGUUCCCUCAGAAUGGUUGGAAAUCAUUCGCAGAGUGUAAAGG
RNAcentral lists this ribosomal RNA (2055 nucleotides) under Streptococcus pneumoniae. RNAcentral describes it as "bacterial LSU rRNA". It matches the Rfam family "Bacterial large subunit ribosomal RNA", at positions 286 to 2357 of the family's 2925-position model. The record is from RNAcentral. Lineage: Bacteria; Bacillati; Bacillota; Bacilli; Lactobacillales; Streptococcaceae.